GGGUAAUUCCAGAUGACGUCGAGAGACCAAAGGUCUGCCGCCGGGGGAGAAGCCCACGUGAUAUUAGCUAGUUGGUGAGGUAAUGGCUCACCAAGGCGAAGAUGUCUAGCGGGUGUGAGAGCACGACCCGCGCCACUGGCACUGAGACACUGGCCAGACACCUACGGGUGGCUGCAGUCGAGGAUCUUCGGCAAUGGGGGCAACCCUGACCGAGCGACGCCGCGUGUGCGAUGAAGGCCUUCGGGUUGUAAAGCACUGUCGAGGGGGAGAAAAGCGAAAGCUUGAUCUAUCCCUGGAGGAAGGACGGGCUAAGUUCGUGCCAGCAGCCGCGGUAAGACGAACCGUCCGAACGUUGUUCGGAAUCACUGGGCUUAAAGGGCGCGUAGGCGGGUUGCCAAGUCUGUGGUGAAAUCCUCCAGCUUAACUGGAGAACUGCCGUGGAUACUGGCGACCUCGAGGAAGAUAGGGGACUCUGGAACUGUGCGUGGAG
Molecule: ribosomal RNA, 490 nt
Filed under: uncultured bacterium
Lineage: Bacteria
Description: bacterial SSU rRNA
Rfam family: Bacterial small subunit ribosomal RNA
Source: RNAcentral